RNAcentral lists this ribosomal RNA (436 nucleotides) under uncultured Sinorhizobium sp. RNAcentral's name for it is "bacterial SSU rRNA". It matches the Rfam family "Bacterial small subunit ribosomal RNA", at positions 958 to 1392 of the family's 1533-position model. The record is from RNAcentral. Lineage: Bacteria; Pseudomonadati; Pseudomonadota; Alphaproteobacteria; Hyphomicrobiales; Rhizobiaceae.
AACGCGAAGAACCUUACCAGCCCUUGACAUCCCGGUCGCGGAUACGAGAGAUCGUAUCCUUCAGUUCGGCUGGACCGGUGACAGGUGCUGCAUGGCUGUCGUCAGCUCGUGUCGUGAGAUGUUGGGUUAAGUCCCGCAACGAGCGCAACCCUCGCCCUUAGUUGCCAUCAUUAAGUUGGGCACUCUAAGGGGACUGCCGGUGAUAAGCCGAGAGGAAGGUGGGGAUGACGUCAAGUCCUCAUGCCCCUUACGGGGUGGGCUACACACGUGCUACAAUGGUGGUGACAGUGGGCAGCGAGACCGCGAGGUCGAGCUAAUCUCCAAAACCCAUCUCAGUCCGGAUUGCACUCUGCAACUCGAGUGCAUGAAGUGGAAUCGCUAGUAAUCGCAGAUCAGCAUGCUGCGGUGACUACGUUCCCGGGUCUUGUACACACCG